GCCUACAAGUUUCCAUCCUGAGAAGCCCUUUGCCACCCACUGGAAUUAUACUGCAGUAUUAUCCUAAAAGUACCUUUGGCUAUUCACUUAGGCCAUCAACAGAAUAACAACAUAUUUUAUUUGAAUAUCCAAAUAAUACCUUAUAAAGAACAAUGUUUAAUAUAUAUCCUCUUGAGAACUUGUGUGUGUGUUGUGUGUGUGUGUGUGUGUGUGUGUGUGUGUGUGUGUGUGUGUAUGCGCGCGCGUGUGCGCGCACACUCAUUUGUUUCCACAAUGCCAAAUGUAAACUUAGAAGAAACAGGACAGUGACAUUUGGAAUAAGAGGUUGGUAGCUAAGUGUUGGCUCUCAAAACAAAAUUACCUGCCACAGGAUGUUAACAUUUGGCUGGCAUGGGUCACCUUUGUAGUGGAAGUAGGCAAAUAGAAUAGAACUGUAGCAAAAUAAAGAAAAUUGGCAAGUACAGAAGAAAUAAACAACAACUUCAGCAGCUGAUCAAUAAAUAUUUAUCAAAGACUUGCCCCAUUGGAGAAUUCGGUGUUAGAGAUAGGUUAAAUGAUUCUAAGUAGCAGAACAGUGCUUUUUCUGGAACUCAAAAAUUUAAUGAAAAAAAAAAAGCAAACAUAAUUUAAUGUUACUCCCUUAUGUUCUUUACAUCUGUUUUAGGGGACAUAUCUAAAAUGAUUUUGACUAUUAUUCAGUCUACUUUCAAAGGAUAAGACUGUUUCUAACGUUUUAUGUGGCAGCACUUUUAACUUGAGAAACAGAAGGGAACAGCAUUGUACCAAAAUCUUUGGGGAAGAAUGUAAUAAUGUCCAUAUUUUCAAUUUAUUUAAACAUUUUUAUGAGAAACUAUUCUAGGUAAAUUAUAUAUACAAAACCAUAGAGGAAAGCUAUGCUUUCCUGAGGAUAUCAGUGGUUUGGUUCUUCGACUGUAAAUAUUAAGCUGUAGUAUGAAAUAAGAGAAACUUAGACCUUUUCCCCAGAUACAAUUUUAUCUUAGUGCUACAAUUUUGGUCCCAUCAACCAAAACAUAUUUUUGUUUAAUAGUAAUUAUAUUUAAUAUUGUAAUCUGUUGUGUAUUACCAUCCAUCACAUAUUCAGCAUUUAAGAAAUAGUUACUGAUUCAUGAAUGAGUGAAAUGGGAUAUUCUGGCAGAAAAACCAUAUCCCUAAUGAAAUUGUAUUUUUACAUUAGCUUUACUUUAAAAUAAAAGGCAGUAAGCAAGAGAAUAGAAUAUAUGAUAAAUUUAUAGUUCAGAAUAAAAAGAAAAAAAAUUUCCAUGAAACAAAUGAAAAUUGUAUAGAAGUGCAGAUUGGAAAUGUCCUAAUAUUUCCAAUGAAAGACAAUUUUAAGGUGGGGACCCAUCUCCCAUUUUAAAAACUAAAAACAAAUGUAAAUGAUUUGUGUGUGUGUGUGUGUGUGUGUGUGUGUGUGUUGUGUGUGUUUUACUUCAGAAUCCUUACAGAUAACUACCCAGCUAAUCUUCUAAUUCCCUGUAGCACACCAAAUUUCAGCUACUAUCCUCUCUAAGGGAUGUGUGCAGCUUUGUGCUUAUUUCUCUUUCUCCUUCCUCUCAUCCUUUAAAACGCCUUGUUAUUUUAUGUCUUAGGGAUUCUUCAAUUUGCAUUCGGUCUAAUAAAAUGUGGGAGAAAAACGUUCUUUAAUAGCAGCCACUCCAGUAAUCAAGAUGAAAAUAUAAUAACAGGAUGUUAAAAUAUUGUCUCACUUGAAAUAGAUGUAAUUUAAAAUACAUGGCGCCUGCUUUAGAUACUUUGCAGACAUUAAAUUGGACACCUGAUUAGGAUAGCCAGGGAAGAACCCUGUGAAACAAAACCAUGGAGAGAUAGCUGAGAGGGAAAUCUGCUGUAUAAGAACCAUCAUCAAGAGAAAGUUUAGUGUUUUUGAGGUUUGGCUGUUGAUGUAUUUGAAGUGACCCUGAGCAAAGCCAUGAACAGCAAGGAAGGCAACUCUUUACUCAUUCUGCAGCUUAAGUGGGUGAUUAUACUUACAACAUACCACUGCCUAGAACAGUGGUUCUCAACCUUCCUAAUGCUAUGACCCUUUAAUAUACUUCCUCUUGUUAUGGUGACCACCAUCCAUAAAAUAACUUUUGGUUGAAGUGGGACUCAGGCUCCCUAAACAUAUUUAGCAGAUGUGUUGUGCAACUUAGUCUUCAUGUGGGUCCACUAACAGCAGGAGCAGAAUCUGUAUCUGAUUCUGCUGCUGGCCUUUGGGUCCCUUUCCCCCAAUUGGACUGCCUGGUCUAGCUUUAGUAGGAGAAGGUUCAUAUAAACCUACUGCAACUUGAUCCACCAUGAAGGGUUGAUAUCCACGGGAGUCCUCUCCUUCUUUGAAGAGAAAGGGAGAGGAAGAUGAAGGGAGGGGAGAGGAGAGGGUGGGAUUAGGAAUAGAGGAGGGAGGGGAAGUUGUGAUCUGGAUGUC
Molecule: long non-coding RNA, 2443 nt
Filed under: Mus musculus (house mouse)
Lineage: Eukaryota; Metazoa; Chordata; Mammalia; Rodentia; Muridae
Description: long non-coding RNA chr16:40453896-40456339
Source: RNAcentral